CCUACGGGUGGCAGCAGUGGGGAAUAUUGGACAAUGGGGGGAACCCUGAUCCAGCGACGCCGCGUGAGUGAAGAAGUAUUUCGGUAUGUAAAGCUCUAUCAGCAGGGAAGAAAGAAAUGACGGUACCUGACUAAGAAGCCCCGGCUAACUACGUGCCAGCAGCCGCGGUAAUACGUAGGGGGCAAGCGUUAUCCGGAUUUACUGGGUGUAAAGGGAGCGUAGGCGGCGAGGGAAGUCUGAAGUGAAAGGCGGGGGCUCAACGACUGGACUGCUUUGGAAACUGUAUGGCUAGAGUGCAGGAGAGGAAAGUGGAAUGCCUAGUGUAGCGGUGAAAUGCGUAGAUAUUAGGAAGAACACCAGUGGCGAAGGCGGCUUACUGGACUGUAACUGACGUUGAGGCUCGAAAGCGUGGGGAGCAAACAGGAUUAGAUACCCUAGUAGUC
This 443-nucleotide ribosomal RNA is filed under the name uncultured bacterium. Its description in RNAcentral is "partial 16S ribosomal RNA". It matches the Rfam family "Bacterial small subunit ribosomal RNA", at positions 338 to 795 of the family's 1533-position model. The record is from RNAcentral.